CGGAAAACGCGGCCUGGAUCGCGCCGGGGCGGCCGCCGCCGCUCGCACGCGCCCCGCGGUAGCCAAAAAUGGAAGGAAGCACAUCUGCAACGCAUUUGUGUGAUGUUCACUUUUGAGACCGCGCGGCUGGAUGGAGGCGUGUUGCUUUUUCCUGUACACCUCACCUCUAACGUGACCAUGACCAGAGGCAGUGUCUGAGAGAUUGCUCGACCCUCUUCAGCGCCAACUUCCUUCCUAGAUCUCAGUCUGGCGGAAACGCCGCCACCGUCCACCCCGCUGCUCAGGCCGGAGACACCUCCCUCCCUCCCUCCCUCUCGCCUUCGGCUCCCCAUUGGACAUCACAUGGUGUGAGUUCCAGCUCCAAGGUGCACCCCCCAUCAGCACGGCCACCACCCCGGUCUCCGCUGCCACGGCCCACGUCUCUCCCUGCUGAGAACUUCCUAACGGCUUUCAAUGAGAUUUAAGAUAAAAUCUGAAUUCUGUGCCACAGCCCGCAAGGCCUCCUCCAUGAUCAGUCUUAUGUCUCCCUAGACCGGAGGCUCCGUGAUGGCAGGACGGGGCCACUUCUACUACUUGGCAGUUCAUACUGCCUGGCACAUA
Molecule: long non-coding RNA, 600 nt
Organism: Mirounga angustirostris (Northern elephant seal)
Lineage: Eukaryota; Metazoa; Chordata; Mammalia; Carnivora; Phocidae
Exons: 3
Source: RefSeq, a predicted model, not a curated record